RNAcentral lists this ribosomal RNA (269 nucleotides) under uncultured prokaryote. Its description in RNAcentral is "partial 16S ribosomal RNA". It matches the Rfam family "Bacterial small subunit ribosomal RNA", at positions 524 to 792 of the family's 1533-position model. The record is from RNAcentral.
CACGUAUGGGACGAGCGUUGUUCGGAAUUAUUGGGCGUAAAGGGCGCGUAGGCGGUUUCAUAAGCUUGGUGUCAAAGGCGCUGGCUCAACCAGUGUUGUGCAUUGGGAACUGUGAGACUGGAGUUCAGGAGGGGAAGCUGGAAUUCCUGGUGUAGGGGUGAAAUCUGUAGAUAUCAGGAAGAACACCGGUGGCGAAGGCGAGCUUCUAUCCAUGGACUGACGCUGAGGCGCGAAAGCGUGGGGAGCGAACAGGAUUAGAUACCCCCGUA